UACGGGGGGGGCAAGCGUUGUUCGGAAUGACUGGGCGUAAAGGGCGCGUAGGCGGCGGACACAGUCAGAUGUGAAAUUCCCGGGCUCAACCUGGGGGCUGCAUUUGAUACGUGUUUGCUUGAGUGGGGAAGAGGGUCGUGGAAUUCCCAGUGUAGAGGUGAAAUUCGUAGAUAUUGGGAAGAACACCGGUGGCGAAGGCGGCGACCUGGUCCUUGACUGACGCUGAGGCGCGAAAGCGUGGGGAGCAAACAGG
RNAcentral lists this ribosomal RNA (253 nucleotides) under uncultured bacterium. RNAcentral's name for it is "partial 16S ribosomal RNA". It matches the Rfam family "Bacterial small subunit ribosomal RNA", at positions 524 to 776 of the family's 1533-position model. The record is from RNAcentral.